UGGGGAAUAUUGCGCAAUGGGGGGAACCCUGACGCAGCCAUGNCCGCGUGAAUGAAGAAGGCCUUAGGGUUGUAAAGUUCUUUCGGUAUUGAGGAAGGUUGAUGUGUUAAUAGCACAUCAAAUUGACGUUAAAUACAGAAGAAGCACCGGCUAACUCCGUGCCAGCAGCCGCGGUAAUACGGAGGGUGCGAGCGUUAAUCGGAAUAACUGGGCGUAAAGGGCACGCAGGCGGUUAUUUAAGUGAGGUGUGAAAGCCCCGGGCUUAACCUGGGAAUUGCAUUUCAGACUGGGUAACUAGAGUACUUUAGGGAGGGGUAGAAUUCCACGUGUAGCGGUGAAAUGCGUAGAGAUGUGGAGGAAUACCGAAGGCGAAGCNNGCCCCUUGGGAAUGUACUGACGCUCAUGUGCGAAAGCGUGGGGAGCAAACAGGAUUAGAUACCCUGGUAGUCCACGCUGUAAACGCUGUCGAUUUGGGGGUUGGGGUUUAACUCUGGCGCCCGUAGCUAACGUGAUAAAUCGACCGCCUGGGGAGUACGGCCGCAAGNUA
RNAcentral lists this ribosomal RNA (547 nucleotides) under uncultured bacterium. RNAcentral describes it as "bacterial SSU rRNA". It matches the Rfam family "Bacterial small subunit ribosomal RNA", at positions 355 to 895 of the family's 1533-position model. The record is from RNAcentral.